GAUGAACGCUAGCGGCAGGCUUAACACAUGCAAGUCGAGGGGUAUGGUUCUUCGGAGCCAGAGACCGGCGCACGGGUGCGUAACGCGUAUGCAAUCUACCUUUUACAGAGGGAUAGCCCAGAGAAAUUUGGAUUAAUACCUCAUAGUAUUACGACUCGGCAUCGAGAUGUAAUUAAAGUUCCAACGGUAAAAGAUGAGCAUGCGUCCCAUUAGCUAGAUGGUAAGGUAACGGCUUACCAUGGCUACGAUGGGUAGGGGUCCUGAGAGGGAGAUCCCCCACACUGGUACUGAGACACGGACCAGACUCCUACGGGAGGCAGCAGUGAGGAAUAUUGGACAAUGGGCGCAAGCCUGAUCCAGCCAUGCCGCGUGCAGGAUGACGGUCCUAUGGAUUGUAAACUGCUUUUGUACGAGAAGAAACAACUCUACGUGUAGAGUCUGACGGU
RNAcentral lists this ribosomal RNA (446 nucleotides) under Flavobacterium sp. R-41988. Its description in RNAcentral is "bacterial SSU rRNA". It matches the Rfam family "Bacterial small subunit ribosomal RNA", at positions 28 to 476 of the family's 1533-position model. Lineage: Bacteria; Pseudomonadati; Bacteroidota; Flavobacteriia; Flavobacteriales; Flavobacteriaceae. The record is from RNAcentral.